AUGAACGCUGGCGGCGUGCUUAAUACAUGCAAGUCGAACGGAGACAUUAGCAAUAAUGUCUUAGUGGCGAACGGGUGAGUAACGCGUUGGUGACCUGCCCCGAAGAGGGGGAUAACAGUCCGAAAGGAUUGCUAAUACCCCAUGUGGUCGUUUGGAUUAGAUGCCUUAUGACUAAACGGAUUUAUUCGCUUCGGGAGGGGCCUGCGUCCCAUCAGCUAGUUGGUAGGGUAAUAGCCUACCAAGGCGAUGACGGGUAGGGGACCUGAGAGGGUGGCCCCCCACAAUGGAACUGAAACACGGUCCAUACACCUACGGGUGGCAGCAGUAGGGAAUAUUGGUAAUCUGGGAAACCGGGAACCAGCAACGCCGCGUGCGCGAUGAAGGCCUUCGGGUUGUAAAGCGCUUUUUGAAGGGAUGAGGAAGGACAGUACCUUCAGAAUAAGCCUCGGCUAACUACGU
This 459-nucleotide ribosomal RNA is filed under the name uncultured bacterium. RNAcentral describes it as "bacterial SSU rRNA". It matches the Rfam family "Bacterial small subunit ribosomal RNA", at positions 29 to 506 of the family's 1533-position model. The record is from RNAcentral.